RNAcentral lists this ribosomal RNA (560 nucleotides) under uncultured Glomus. RNAcentral describes it as "SSU rRNA". It matches the Rfam family "Eukaryotic small subunit ribosomal RNA", at positions 546 to 1106 of the family's 1831-position model. Lineage: Eukaryota; Fungi; Glomeromycota; Glomeromycetes; Glomerales; Glomeraceae. The record is from RNAcentral.
AAUUGGAGGGCAAGUCUGGUGCCAGCAGCCGCGGUAAUUCCAGCUCCAAUAGCGUAUAUUAAAGUUGUUGCAGUUAAAAAGCUCGUAGUUGAAUUUCGGGAUCAAUAUUUCGGUCAUGCCGUUGGUAUGCACUGUUAUCAUUGAUUUCUCACCUUCUAAAGAACCGUAAUGCCAUUAAUUUGGUGUUACGGGGAAUUAGGACUGUUACCUUGAAAAAAUUAGAGUGUUUAAAGCAGGCUCACGCUUGAAUACAUUAGCAUGGAAUAAUGAAAUAGGACAUCCGAUUCUAUUUUGUUGGUUUCUAGGAUCGACGUAAUGAUUAAUAGGGAUAGUUGGGGGCAUUAGUAUUCAAUUGUCAGAGGUGAAAUUCUUGGAUUUAUUGAAGACUAACUACUGCGAAAGCAUUUGCCAAGGAUGUUUUCAUUAAUCAAGAACGAAAGUUAGGGGAUCGAAGACGAUCAGAUACCGUCGUAGUCUUAACCAUAAACUAUGCCGACUAGGGAUCGGAUGAUGUUAAUUUUUUAAUGACUCAUUCGGCGCCUUACGGGAAACCAAAGUGU